RNAcentral lists this long non-coding RNA (375 nucleotides) under Homo sapiens (human). RNAcentral's name for it is "HSALNT0371529". Lineage: Eukaryota; Metazoa; Chordata; Mammalia; Primates; Hominidae. The record is from RNAcentral.
CCUUUUGUUCUCUCCUGGAGCUGGGACACUCUUCAUCUCCUGAACUUUGGACAUUAGAAUUCCAUUCUCCCUGGCCUUGAGACUCUGAGACUUACACAAGCAGCCCCACCCAGGUUCUCAGGCCUUCGGACUCACAUUGAGAAUUACACCAUCAGCUUCCCUGGUUCUGAUUCUUUAGAACUUGGACUGAGCCACGCUACUAUCAUCCCAGGGUCUCCAGCUUACAAGUGUCCUGCCAUGGGACUUCUCAGCCUCCAUAAUCAUAUAGAUGAUACCAAAGCGGCCAACGAGUUUAAAACUCUUUUUGCGCAGUAGGAAUGACUCCAUGAAGAUUUCUCAUCAUGGAGCCCAGACUAGAUGGACCCAAAUCUCCAG